Molecule: long non-coding RNA, 236 nt
Filed under: Elaeis guineensis (African oil palm)
Lineage: Eukaryota; Viridiplantae; Streptophyta; Magnoliopsida; Arecales; Arecaceae
Description: long non-coding RNA (EGUI_LNC071324)
Source: RNAcentral
GUUGUGAAUAUCUUCAUGAGUUGUCUGCUUAUAUUGUAUUCUUGUCAUUAUAGAUUAACUAUACUUAUGGCAUUCUCACUGUCUCUUAGAGGUAUCCUAGAUACUAACAAGUUGAUUGGACCCAACUAUAUCAACUGGUUAAGAAACUUAAGAAUUAUUCUCAUUCAGAAGAAAGUCUUCUACAUUUUGGAUACACCUACUCCAGAUAAUCUUGGAGAAGAUGCUUCCGAGGAAGA